Molecule: ribosomal RNA, 685 nt
Filed under: Pediococcus pentosaceus
Lineage: Bacteria; Bacillati; Bacillota; Bacilli; Lactobacillales; Lactobacillaceae
Description: bacterial SSU rRNA
Rfam family: Bacterial small subunit ribosomal RNA
Source: RNAcentral
UUUGGGAGGGUUUCCGCCCUUCAGUGCUGCAGCUAACGCAUUAAGUAAUCCGCCUGGGGAGUACGACCGCAAGGUUGAAACUCAAAAGAAUUGACGGGGGCCCGCACAAGCGGUGGAGCAUGUGGUUUAAUUCGAAGCUACGCGAAGAACCUUACCAGGUCUUGACAUCUUCUGACAGUCUAAGAGAUUAGAGGUUCCCUUCGGGGACAGAAUGACAGGUGGUGCAUGGUUGUCGUCAGCUCGUGUCGUGAGAUGUUGGGUUAAGUCCCGCAACGAGCGCAACCCUUAUUACUAGUUGCCAGCAUUAAGUUGGGCACUCUAGUGAGACUGCCGGUGACAAACCGGAGGAAGGUGGGGACGACGUCAAAUCAUCAUGCCCCUUAUGACCUGGGCUACACACGUGCUACAAUGGAUGGUACAACGAGUCGCGAGACCGCGAGGUUAAGCUAAUCUCUUAAAACCAUUCUCAGUUCGGACUGUAGGCUGCAACUCGCCUACACGAAGUCGGAAUCGCUAGUAAUCGCGGAUCAGCAUGCCGCGGUGAAUACGUUCCCGGGCCUUGUACACACCGCCCGUCACACCAUGAGAGUUUGUAACACCCAAAGCCGGUGGGGUAACCUUUUAGGAGCUAGCCGUCUAAGGUGGGACAGAUGAUUAGGGUGAAGUCGUAACAAGGUAACCGUAA